Molecule: transfer RNA, 82 nt
Filed under: Schistocerca americana (American grasshopper)
Lineage: Eukaryota; Metazoa; Arthropoda; Insecta; Orthoptera; Acrididae
Description: tRNA-Ser
Rfam family: tRNA
About the family: Transfer RNA (tRNA) molecules are approximately 80 nucleotides in length. Their secondary structure includes four short double-helical elements and three loops (D, anti-codon, and T loops).
Source: RNAcentral
GCAGUCGUGGGCGAGUGGUUAAGGCGUCUGACUCGAAAUCAGAUUCCCUCUGAGAGCGUAGGUUCGAGUCCUGCCGACUGCG